UGGGGGGUGUCCACUCAGUGGUAGAGCAACUGUUUAGUGUAUACAGGCCCUGGGUUCAAUCCCCAGCACCACAG
RNAcentral lists this transfer RNA (74 nucleotides) under Marmota monax (woodchuck). RNAcentral describes it as "tRNA.Thr". Lineage: Eukaryota; Metazoa; Chordata; Mammalia; Rodentia; Sciuridae. The record is from RNAcentral.